Molecule: ribosomal RNA, 590 nt
Filed under: uncultured Ferribacterium sp.
Lineage: Bacteria; Pseudomonadati; Pseudomonadota; Betaproteobacteria; Rhodocyclales; Azonexaceae
Description: bacterial SSU rRNA
Rfam family: Bacterial small subunit ribosomal RNA
Source: RNAcentral
ACUCCACGGGAGGCAGCAGUGGGGAAUUUUGGACAAAGGGCGCAAGCCUGAUCCAGCCAUGCCGCGUGAGUGAAGAAGGCCUUCGGGUUGUAAAGCUCUUUCAGCCGGGAAGAAAUCACAUGGGUUAAUACCCUGUGUGGAUGACGGUACCGGAAUAAGAAGCACCGGCUAACUACGUGCCAGCAGCCGCGGUAAUACGUAGGGUGCGAGCGUUAAUCGGAAUUACUGGGCGUAAAGCGUGCGCAGGCGGUUUGUUAAGAUAGGCGUGAAAUCCCCGGGCUCAACCUGGGAACUGCGUUUAUGACUGGCAGGCUAGAGUAUGGCAGAGGGGGGUGGAAUUCCACGUGUAGCAGUGAAAUGCGUAGAGAUGUGGAGGAACACCGAUGGCGAAGGCAGCCCCCUGGGCCAAUACUGACGCUCAUGCACGAAAGCGUGGGUAGCAAACAGGAUUAGAUACCCUGGUAGUCCACGCCCUAAACGAUGUCAACUAGGUGUUGGGUGGGUAAAACCAUUUAGUACCGGAGCUAACGCGUGAAGUUGACCGCCUGGGGAGUACGGCCGCAAGGUUAAAACUCAAAUGAAUUGACGGA